AAGAGAUGGUAUGGAUAUAAGCAAUCCAUCAACUAUUUAUUAUUUUCCAUUGAAAACAAUCCAACAAAUAGUUUUUGUUUGAAUUGUUUUUUCAGUGAAAAUCCCCCUACGCAGCUAAGUAUAUAUACAUAUACUACAACUGAUUUCCUAAAAUCAGUGUUCCCCCCUAAUAGAGAUUAAAUGUUAAUAAACAAAUAAUACUCCUUGUUCUUCAAAUGUUUGAAACCAUGGGCAAUUUAAAUGUCUUUGGAUCUUCUCAAAUGACAGAACUUUAAUCCAGUGAGCAGUUUAUCUGAUCAGAUUCAACCAAGAGAUCCCAACUUGAGGGCAAAAUUCAGAGGCAUCAUCAGCACACAGGCAUCAUGAUUUAAUAUGAUGUGAUGAUGGGGGAAGGAUGGAGUUGGCAAGCUCUUCGUUCACCUUCACAGGAAGUGAAGGCAUCUGUUUCAUUAUCUCUGGCAUGUCAUUCAAGCUGCAGAAAUAAUUCAAAUUAGAAGCAAGAAUUGAAUUCCUUGUAUAAUACAUCAAUGAUGCUUAACUGCCAGCUGGCAUUGCAGGAUACUGAAUUGCACUCGAAACAAGGGCAUAAGCAUAUAUAUCUACUUGCAUAAUUUACAGCUUCAAAGCAAACAUUCCAUGUAUCAAACCAAAUUCAUAAAUCUCAUCAAUAAGAAAGUGUCUAGAAGACCUACAUAAUCAAAAAAUUUGUUGAGGAUAAGCGCCCCUCUAAAUGGGCAUCAGUGUGUAUAGGAUGAUAGUGGGCAAAAUUUCUGAGUUUUAAAUGCCUUGUAGUUCUUGGCAUGCCAUCACAGAUAAUAUUAAAAAGUAUUGACCAAGGAAAAAAAAAUCCUCCCGAUGGCUUGAAUGUGACUUUUAAAGCUGAUUGCAUAGACUGAAAGCUCUUCUCAAUAGUCUAUUACCAUAUAGUCAUUCGCAGUGUGCAUGAAGCUCUGGACACAUCAAAAUUUGCACUUCAACAACUGACCAAUCCAGAAGCAGAGUUGUGAGUAAGGCUGUGAUGGAGCACUACAAAAAGCUACUCAAGCCAAUCCAAGACAAGAUCUAUUGGAACUAUGCAAAUCAGGAUCACUUUUGACUCAAGACCAAGUAUUCAUGAUGAUUUUGGGUAUUUUACUCAGGUUGUUUAGACUACUCUCGCUAUUCAAAAUUGUUUAUGUAAUCAUUUCCACAUUAUGAUUACAAGUAAAAAAUAGUCUCAAGUUAACGUAUUGCAGUACUUAGCUUACUGUUCAUGUUUUGCAGUCAACAAAGUGUGGGCUGUUGUUCUAGUUUUCUUAAAUUAGGGUUUUGUAAUCAACAGUAGUGUCUAGGACUAGCUACAUGUUUCCAGAGCUUGGAGCUUAAAAAAAGAGUAGAUAUACACAUUUUUCUUCCUUUAAAGGUAUUUUUUUGGAGGAGGAUUUCAAUUGAUAGCCUCCCUUAGAGUGCAGAGGCGUAGCCAUCAACUAGGUUAUGCCUUGGCCAAUGUAACAUACACUUUAUGAUGGAAAGGAAAAUAUUUAAAGAACUAGAGAUUAAUACCUUUGCUUGGAGGCAAGUAUACCUAGCGUUUGUACCUCUGAUUUCCUUAGUUUUUAAUUUUUUUUAAUGUAUUUUCCCUCUAUUUCUUCUAAUUUUGAGCACACAAAUCGAUGUUCUUUAGCCCAGUUUAGACUGGAAUCUGUCUAACAGAAUUUUAUAUUUAGCUUCAAUUUAAUCUCAUUACUUCUAAAAAGAGUCCCUAGCUAUCCCCAAUUAACAAAUCCAAUUACCCUACAGAAACUUAAGAUUUGUACACAAACCUACAUCAGACUGCUCUUAUAGAAACUGAGAGGGCAACUACUGACUAUUUCAUUUAAUCUCUCUGUCAUUCUGUGAUUCUGUAUCCAUAUGAAUCAUAUUGGUUUUGCUAUCUUGCAUUUUUAAUAUGUUUAAGUUCCCGUGGACAUAUAUCGCAUACCUUUUCCAUGUAAAUCCAGAUUCCAGUCACAUUCAAGCAUUUUCACAGUGAAACAACUACUAGAAAAUUACUCAUUUUACCUUUACCAUAGUAAUCCUCAGUGAUAAUACCAUGAAGAUUCAUAAAAAUAUGAAUAGGAAAAUGGUUGAAUAACCACAUUUCUUUUUUAAGAAAUACAUGUCAGAGUCCUGAAUGGUCAAGAUAUACAUGCCCAACACAUGAAGAUAUGCCACAAAUAAUUUGUCUUCAUAACAACAGAAUGAAGCACAGAGAGGUAUGACAUACUCAUUCAAGAUAGAAAGGAUGUUGUCCCGAGUUUUGCUGAGGAGAUUAAGAUUAUCGUGUAUCUGUAAGACAUAAAAAAGGAAGUAUUGUGAUAAAUUAUCCCCUACUAAGGAAAUGCCUUACAAAAUGAUGCUGAUCCCAAACAAGGCAAAGCAAUCACAAGCCCAUAGAGAAAAACAAUCAUAUGGCAAGGUCAUUAGGUAAAUCAUAUUGGGCAGAUAUAUUAAAAAUCAACAAUAAACUGGCUUUAGGCUGCCUAAACAGUGUGUUGAAUGGAUUUGGCCAACAAUACAAUGAAGCUGCCUAAAAGGUCUCCAAUCCUUAAUUUCUAUGACCACCAUUAUUCCCUCCUGUUUGCACCGCAAAUACAAAAGGAAGAACAAUUGGAUGCCCCACAUAAUUAAACUCUAUUGCAUCUUUCAUGAAAUUUGUACAAAACAUUAACAACUUCCAACAUUUUGAACGAGAACAGAUCAUGAGAAACAUUUUGAAUGGUUUCAGCCCAAAGCAGAUGGGAAUUUUCUUUGUUAUUAGAAAGACUCUAGCUCUAUACAAUACUAGACUUCUGCCUGUGCAUUGCACGGGUAUAAUCAUUAUCAAUAUAUUAUUUAAUUGAAUUAAAAUAUGGCUAUAUAGCAUUUUCUAUAUUUAUAUUUAAUUUAUUUUAAGUAUUUUAAGAAAUGUUUGUACUAAAAGGAACUUUGAAAAUAUAAAGAAAAUAAAUAUGAAGAACAAAUAAUAAAUUGAAAAUAAAUAUAAAGAAUAAAGAAUAAAAUGCCAAUAAAAUGUAUAUAAACAAAUUCUUGUAAGAUGAAGACUACCUUAAUGAUAUUUGUGCAAAUUGUUCUUCAUUUUCUUCUAAUGCCUUGGUUACUAAAAUAUCAUUUGGUAGAUUUAAGAGAAAAUCUUGAUUGCAUAUUGUAUCUUCUAUUUGCAUAAUUGUAUUAUAAUGCAGCUAGUUUGAUUUUUGAUGUGUGAUAUUGGUUUAUAUGAUUCUUAGUUUUCCUAGUAUUAGUUAAAUUAUAACUAUUGUCAUAAAUAUUUUAUUAUAAGAAAAUUAAGUACGUGAUUUUUACAAUUAUAGUGGACAAUAAAAAGGUGGCUUGUUGUAACAUAAUAUGGAAUUUAUUGCAAGAAGAUAUUUUCAUGGCAACAAAGAGGCAUUUUAUUAUUGUAACAAAUAUGAAAUUUGAAUGGGAUGGAAGACCAAAACAAAAAGCCAUGGCACUUGGCAAAAAAAUAGGAUAAACACUUGAAAAUAUUUAUUAUCUAUAUAAAUAUUAUAAAGCUGAACUUUGAAAUAAGUUAAUACAAGCCAGAAGAUCUUGCAAGAAAUAAAACAAGAAAUGGAAGAAAAAAUGAAAAAUAACAGCUUUUACAGGUGUUGUGUGCAAAAUGGCCAUAAAAUACGGGAAAGGUCUCAUGAUAUUGUGAUUAGUUAGCAUCAACUCAGUGUCAAAAUCUAUCUAUCACCUGAAAAGAUGCAAAAUUUGCUGAAAUUUGACUUAAAAUUUGAGCAUUUUGCUCAAGAAGCUCUCCACUUGCACCACCAAUGUCUGCAAAUGAUACAUCAACUGUAAGCAUACAAGUGGUAAUGGUCAUAAACAGGAAAAGGGCAGAUCCUAGUUAAGUUGUUAAUGCCAGAUUAAAGCAUAGGCUCAGUAAGUUCAAUGAUUAUUUAUUUUUAUUUAUUUUGGUGAGAUGAAUUCAAUGAUUAUUGAUCAAAAAGUAUAACCAAUGACAUAAAUGUAUAAUUUUGUAAUACUUCCAUGAUGAGUUAAAAACAAAUUAUCUCUAGCAUUGGUGGAAAACUGUGACAGUCCCUCAACAUUAUGAAAUAAGUGAGUCUAUGUAACCAUUAGGAAUGUAGAUAAAUUUUCCUUGAAAUCAAUCCUAUAUUAUCUGUAUCAGAAAAAAUCAUUGUUUCUUGUUUUGAACAAUUUCUGUAGAUAGUUUACCAGAAUGACAUAUCAAAGGUGCUACCUUUGGCUUGAAUCCUCUCCAACAACUCAAUAAAACCAAUUGUAAGCAGAUUGCUAGAGCAAUCACCACAUUUUUCUACAAUUUCUUGUCAUUCCAGAUAAGGCUAGAUUGUGAUAAGUAAAAAAAAUAAAAAAAAGAAUUUGAAUUGUAUUCUUAAGCUUAAAAUGUUGUACAUAGCAAUUCUACACUACAAAACUGCAGAGCAAAUAUAUGUGAGCGAUUGCUACUAAAAACAGUCAUGUUAAAAGAGCAAACAGGAAAUGAAAACUGGAAGGACAGCCAAAACAAGAGCAAGAAUGAACAGUUUACACUAAAUAAGGAUGUAACUAAUGGGAAGCACUUGGUGAAGCAUGAGCUCAAUUCAUAAAAAAAGUAAAUAUAAUCACCAAAUUAGUGUUUGCAUGUCCAAGCAUGAUCUCUGCAAUUUCAAGCAUAUCAAAAUUCUCCAUUAUAGGGAAAAUAUAGUAUUUCAUAGUAUUUGGUACUAUACAUAGUUAACAAUAAGCUGGCCUAACCAGUACUGCCAGUAUUAUAAGAGUCCAUUGCAUAUUAAAAUUCAAUUUCCUAAUCACUUACUUUCCUCCCUUUGUAUAUCAAUUUACUAGUCACUUACUUUCCUUCCUUUGUGUUGCUAAUUUAUAGGAAGGAACCAACCUUUGUAAGAGAUGCCAUCAUCAUUGUCCAUAGGGAUCAUUGGGGGAGCAUAUGAAGGACCAUUAGGGCGAGGUGUCAAAUGAGAUGAUGACUUAGCUGAAGAAUCUGCAGCUUUUUCCUGAGAAGAUGUGCAUAUAUACUUAUACUUUUGAAAGAUACACAAAAUAAAGUACGUAUGUAGUAAAAUAAAUAGAAAAUUAUUGAUAAUGCAUGGCAUUAUAGUUUGGGUAGAGGGGUCAGGGUGGAACAGGAACCUUUCUAUAAAAACAGAUGCCAACCAGUCCAUCGACAUCCCAAGCUAAAAUAAAAUAUAUUGGAGUCUUGUAGACCAACUGAGCAUGGCACCUUUUUAUGAAUGUAAUCCCAAAUAGCAAUCAUGCCAUAUAAAAAAACACUAUUGUCAAUUUCAGGCAUGUGUCAAGAACAGACACUUUCAACAUUCAUACUCUAGGUGUAUCCAUAAUUUCAUGAUGAACCUUUUCUGGGUUAUUUCACUUCCAGACACCCCAUAGGCAAGUAUUGGACUAGUAGGUACUCCAAAAAUAUUCAUGGCUACAUCCAUUCUACAUAAGAAUGUAAGAUACAAUUAGAGUUGCCACAACUCCUGGAAGUUUUUCUCCUUUGAAUGUCUUUUUGCAUCUUGACCAUUAAUAUUCCAAAGUAAAAAAUAAAAGAAUCAGGAAACUAAUAACAACAACAAUUUGCAGUACAUUCAAUUAAUUUGAUCAACUGAUAAAUAAUUUAAGUUUCUAACAUGUACGAUUGUUUGAACAUGUAAGCCAACCUCCAUGUAUGAAAAUGUUGGCACUAUUUACAGCUGUGUUCGUGGUUUAGUUUGAAAAGUUUUCAAGUCUACACCUGUAAAUUGUUGUAUCAGGUCAGCACUGCCUAGAAAUUAUAUUCACCAAGAAACAUUAAUUGAACACCAUACCUUUCUGUCCUUGUUUUUCCUAGCUGAAUGAUCUUCUUUCCUUCGCUUACCAUUUUCCUUUUUAGUCAUCCAUCUACAACGCAGUGCCACAUCCCUAACCGUUUUGUCCUUUAACUGGAGAGCAAUCUUGGCAUACCGUUGAACCAUUGAUUCUGAGGUAUACUUGUUGAGCAAAUCCUCGAGAAGCGACUGCUCCUCGGCAGUCCACUCAGUGGAAAUACCAGGGCAGUGCCUCAAGGCGGCCUCCGUUUGCGAAUUGUCAGCUGCAGCGGAAGCUCCGGAAUUACUACCCCCACUUUUGGUAGAAUUUACAGGAACGCCAUUGGCAGCAGCGGUGGCCUUAGAAGACGGAAUCUUCUGAGGGGACGCCCCUUCUUGAUUAUUGCCUGCGCCUGAGGGAUUAGCACUAGCAGCCAUAGGCACCAUGUAUCUCUCUCACAAGCAAUCAGUACAUACUUUAGCCAGGGAAAGAUGAAGGAGAAAAGAGGCUGCUUUGUCUGAUCUGUUUCUUUCUUCCUUUCUUUCCUUUCUCAUUUUUUAAUAUAAUUUUUCAGUUUUUG
This 6373-nucleotide unclassified non-coding RNA is filed under the name Hevea brasiliensis (rubber tree). The record is from RNAcentral. Lineage: Eukaryota; Viridiplantae; Streptophyta; Magnoliopsida; Malpighiales; Euphorbiaceae.